Molecule: long non-coding RNA, 2010 nt
Organism: Helianthus annuus (common sunflower)
Lineage: Eukaryota; Viridiplantae; Streptophyta; Magnoliopsida; Asterales; Asteraceae
Exons: 3
Source: RefSeq, a predicted model, not a curated record
CCCAACAACUUAAGAAGUUUGCAUACUUGUACUCACAACUCACUCCUGUAAACCAUCCUGUAAUCAAUAAAAAGUUGUUCCUUUGUAUACAAUACUUGCAAUCAUCACUUGAAUCACACAAAACACUAUCUGUUGGGGCACAAAGCUUAACUUAAGCAAGUCUAAGUCGCAACACGUGAGUCAAAAGUUACUCCGUGAGACUAUGGUCGCAUUACAGCCCUGCUAUCAAGUAUCCAAAGCUAGUCUGCCGGAUUUUGGUAGCAAACAAAUGAGAACAAUGAGAAUGAAUGUUAACUAUAAAAGUAAGUGAAUCUAACAUAGCAUUCAAAUUAUGUGUCAACAAUAUCAUAAAUGACUUUUGUCACACUGAAAUUAUUUAAAUAUAAUGUAACUUAUUGUAACUAUCAGAUUGUGUAAGUUUAAAUGGCACAUAGUUUGCACAUUUCAUACGUGCUAAGACCAUGUGUAGUGGUACACAUGAAAAAUGCCCCCACCCAUGGGCGUUGUGCGACACAUGUCAGUCCAGUCAGCAAAGCGGCAUUAUAGGGAGUUUUUCAUAAAUGAGAGUAGUGGGAUAAUGCCCAAUCAAUGAUUACCCAAUUAUUAAUUUAAAAAAAAUAAAACUAAUAAAAUUUCAUUAAAUAAAAAAAAUUAUAUUGUUAAAAAAUAAAAACCUAAAAAAGACCUUUGUUCAUGAAAGACUAAAUACGGGCUAAUGGGCCUUGGGCCCAUCCCAUCUAAGAACCCUAGCUAUUUAACCCACUUUUCCCCUUCUCCUUUAUUUUGAAACCCUAGCCCCCAUCUUUCUUCUCUCUGCAGACAUAUCAAACACACAAAAAAAAACUUAUCAAUCAUCUCAACUCUCUGCUCUCUCUAAAUAAGAUCCGGUUUACCGGAGUUGGAGACCCGGCCGACUUCCGACGCCGUUUUCCAGCAGCACACUCACCCGCAAGACACCUCCAUGCACCAUUCUUCACCCACACUCAUCUGAAGGUGAUGACGUGGUAUUUACUUAGAUCCAACAUAAGCCAGCUACAACAAUUACUAAACAUAAGACUUGAAAAUGAAUAUGUCAACCAAUUUUCACAUUGGCAUAGUAAUUGUCAAUGUCAAGAUUUGACCAGAAGAAACAAUAUGUCACUGGUCUAGUAAGUUGUCGUCGGCUUAUAGAUGUUGUCGUCGUGAAUAAAUUAUUGAAGGAGCCGGACUAGCAGAAUGAACGGUUAAUGUGUAUGAAAUGCGAACGUCUAUUUGAUGAUAUUGAAAGCGCAAUGGAACAUGUUCUUGAACAUGAAGAAAUCCCGGCUAAUGAAGAACUCUUUGACUAUGUGCCCCCGCCUUAUGGAUGUUGUCGUCGUGAUCACCGCAAUAAAUCCUUUUUCGAGCACUUAAUAGCUCCUGGUGAAUGUGUACCUGGUUAUGCUGACUAUAUCGAUUCUCGAAGUGUGCAAACAUUCAGUAUCUCGAGACUUAUUAAAUUCAAGGAGUUUCAGCAACAUGUGACUUAGAGAUUUGGCAUCAGAUGCCAAUCUUUCUGGCAACUUAUAAGGAGCGACACCCCUUGGAACCAAACAUAUCGUUCCAGGCAUCCUUUAAAAGCUGAAAGAAACCACAUGGUGUUUUUCCACUAUUCGAUCAAAGAGCAAUCUGAAACAGGAACCAAAUUUUUCUGUUAAUUUUUACAUCUACAUUAAAACUCAUCUUUUGAAUUUGCACAUUCACAUCAUUUGGGAUGCUUAUACCGCUGCUUUCCAUGAUAACGCACUACGCCUUUUCUUAGAUUUCGAAUUGGGACUCCUCUCACAAAAACACCGGCGGAGGUACUCAGCACCGAAGAUUACCAAUUUAAAACUCCUUCGCUAAUGAAAAACAAGAGAGGGCAGGAUCCGAACCAGUAUUGCGAUUACCAUAAAGAUAACGGCCACACCACAAAUUACCUCGCACCUCGCUAAAGAAUCCUGGACACGAAGAGCAUCAUUGGUUGUUUUCUCCUUUAGAUUUAAAAAAAAA